GGCGGCGCCGGUCCGUCGGCAGCUGCUGCAGUUGCAGCCACAACCCCGGAGCAACGCCCCUAGUACCCAGCGCGUCCCGGCCAUCGGCUCCGAAGGCGGCGCGGGGCCUGGAGGUUGCCGCGGUGGCGCGAGCGGAGGGGAAGUGGAAGCCAGGGCGGGGGAGGGGGCACCGGGCACAGGCGCCGCGCGCACCCGGGCCUCAGACGAGGCUCGGAGGCGGAGGAGAGCGAGCGGCUCCGCCUUCGGGGCGGGGCUUCCCCGCCGGUAAGGGAGUGGAUGGCGUGACCUGGGAACCUCUGGAGUGGAAACCUUCCCAGGCCCUGCAGCUCAGGGACGAGGAAGUGUGUUUACAGCAGUUUAUACCAUCAUAUAAACAAAGUCCAUACCUUUACUCCGGAGGAUACCAUUCGCAAUGAUUCAGCUACUGUAUGACUCCACUAUGCUUCCUUGUAGUCAAUCUCCUAAGGAUGCCAUUGGACUUCAAAGAAAGGGCAUUUCCCAUGCUUAUGGAAUGGAAGAUGACACGAAGCUGACUUCAAAGUUGGAUUGUAAAGAAAUAAAGAUUAACAAAAUAAAGGACAGACCUAGGCUAUUCAAAGCCCAGGGAAUUUUUUUCCCCCCUGAAAGAGAACCUGAAGAAUUCAAUGAAUUUCAAGUGGCUUAUAGCGGGGAUUUGGGGCUGGUGAGUAGGUAUGGAAAUUAAAGGGCCUCAUGCA
Long non-coding RNA from Mastomys coucha (southern multimammate mouse), 716 nucleotides. RefSeq lists it as uncharacterized. The record is from RefSeq and is a predicted model, not a curated record. Lineage: Eukaryota; Metazoa; Chordata; Mammalia; Rodentia; Muridae. The transcript is spliced from 3 exons.